This 81-nucleotide transfer RNA is filed under the name compost metagenome. RNAcentral's name for it is "tRNA-Thr". The record is from RNAcentral.
AGGUGCCUUGGGUUGGAGGGCAGCGGUUCGUACCCGCUGUGCUUCGGUUUUAAGCCCCCGGUUCGUACCCGGGGGCUUUGC